AUUGGGAGCCCAGGUAGUCUUUUCUUCUGUGCUCCCUGGUGCAGGCCAUGGUCCCAGAAGGGAAGGAUGCAUCGAGGAAGUGAAGUGGCAACUCCAACGCUGGUGCCACCAAGAAGGCUUCGGAUUCCUUGACCACGGUGCACACUUCAGGGUGAAAAGACUCCUCGGAAGGGACAGCAUCCACCUCACGAGGAAAGAUUGCAUAAGCAAAUCAGAAAAAAACCCCCAAUGUGAUACCAGAUGUGUCUGGACAUUCCACCAUAAGGAGAAUCGCCAAAUGGCAUCAGGCUAUCAUAACAACUUUAGGCCACCCCAACUCUCAGCCCUUGGCAUAGGGCCAUACUGGGCAUGUGACCAGAGAACAGCUGCGCUCCAGUGAUUAUGGCUGUCAGAACAGGCCCUUCAGGAUCAUCGCAGCCAAGUACAGUUUAUAACAGCCCUGUGGCUGCUCUGAAUUGCAUCUGAAACAGAACUAAUCCCAAAAUGGGACUUGAGAAAGGUCUCUCUUCUCUAUCUUUCUCCACUUUGUGCAACUGAGGAUCAGUCCCUAUGACAGUUGUUCAGGAGUAACACUGCAAAACAAUCUACUGUUUGCGUAAGGACAAUAGUGUCAACAGAAGACGGGAAGGCUCUCGCCUGAGGAACGUCUGUUCUACAAAGCCACUUCAAAAAUAACUUCUCAGUGGCAUGAAAAGAAAACAUCUGUGAAGCAUGCAGCAGCAAGAGGAGGAGAGAGAAGACAAGGGAUAUUGGAAGAGGAUUAGUAACAGACAACUUAUUGAGUGCCAGUGGCAUAACCUCUAUUAUCCCUUUCAGAUUACACCCACAUAUAAAAGUCAAGGUUUGUGUUUUGAAGUAGGGGAGACUAGAUGGGUGUGGAAAAGACAAGCUGCAAGUUACUCUUAAAGGAAUGGUCAAAGGAAAAACAAAACAGAACACAAAACAUCUUAUGCUUUGCACAUUAUAUACAAAGCCUUCUGGUCCCAUCAUGCAGCCAAGAAGCAAGGGUUGGAGGGAGGGUAGCUCAUUGCUAGUGAAGCAUGAGGACUACAUUUGAGCAGUUUACAUAAGUAGAACUUGGUAUGUGUGUGUAUAUGGACUUACUCAUUAUUUUCCUUUGUUGUAUUUUACAUGUUGGAUGCAUCACACAAGAUUUUAUUAGAAAAGCAUUGUUUUUAUUAAAAUGAUAUAUAAACAAGCCAUCUGCCUUCACACAUGUAUCUGCAGAUUUUUUAACACAGUUUGAAUCAAGAAAGUUAUGGAACGGCUCUUUUCUGGGUAUGGGGUGUGUGACACAUGGCACUGUCUUACACAUUUAGCAUAAAAUUGAUUUCAAUUGAUGUGUGUAUUACUCUCCCGUUUUAAAAGUGAGAUACUCAGCAGUUAGUCAGUUAUACCAAUACAGUGCCUCAGCAACUCUUAACCAAGAACACAUAUUAUUGAAACAUUUCCCACAACAUCAUGUGGCCUCAGAAUCCUGUUGGUUAGCUAUAGAAUAAACAGUCAGAAAUUCCUGGAAA
Long non-coding RNA from Alligator mississippiensis (American alligator), 1520 nucleotides. RefSeq lists it as uncharacterized. Lineage: Eukaryota; Metazoa; Chordata; Crocodylia; Alligatoridae. The transcript has 3 exons. The record is from RefSeq and is a predicted model, not a curated record.